Molecule: small RNA, 178 nt
Filed under: Deltaproteobacteria bacterium
Lineage: Bacteria; Pseudomonadati; Myxococcota; Myxococcia
Description: 6S RNA
Source: RNAcentral
UUCUCUCUACCCUGCUCGACGGUUGAAACGCCCGGGCGGAAUGCUAUACAAAACGGAAGUCGCUCCCUGCUGUGGUGUGCUGCCUCAUUACGUAGGAAUUGCCUGAAACAGUAUACUGACUUCCACAGUUAAGAAACUCGCCGGAGGCUCUUAAUGCCGACGGCAGGGUGGAGAGAAU